AACGCUGGCGGCAGGCCUAACACAUGCAAGUCGAACGGUAACAGGAAGCAGCUUGCUGCUUUGCUGACGAGUGGCGGACGGGUGAGUAAUGUCUGGGAAACUGCCUGAUGGAGGGGGAUAACUACUGGAAACGGUGGCUAAUACCGCAUAACGUCGCAAGACCAAAGAGGGGGACCUUCGGGCCUCUUGCCAUCAGAUGUGCCCAGAUGGGAUUAGCUUGUUGGUGAGGUAACGGCUCACCAAGGCGACGAUCCCUAGCUGGUCUGAGAGGAUGACCAGCCACACUGGAACUGAGACACGGUCCAGACUCCUACGGGAGGCAGCAGUGGGGAAUAUUGCACAAUGGGCGCAAGCCUGAUGCAGCCAUGCCGCGUGUAUGAAGAAGGCCUUCGGGUUGUAAAGUACUUUCAGCGGGGAGGAAGGUGUUGUGGUUAAUAACCGCAGCAAUUGACGUUACCCGCAGAAGAAGCACCGGCUAACUCCGUGCCAGCAGCCGCGGUAAUACGGAGGGUGCAAGCGUUAAUCGGAAUUACUGGGCGUAAAGCGCACGCAGGCGGUCUGUCAAGUCGGAUGUGAAAUCCCCGGGCUCAACCUGGGAACUGCAUUCGAAACUGGCAGGCUUGAGUCUUGUAGAGGGGGGUAGAAUUCCAGGUGUAGCGGUGAAAUGCGUAGAGAUCUGGAGGAAUACCGGUGGCGAAGGCGGCCCCCUGGACAAAGACUGACGCUCAGGUGCGAAAGCGUGGGGAGCAAACAGGAUUAGAUACCCUGGUAGUCCACGCCGUAAACGAUGUCUACUUGGAGGUUGUGCCCUUGAGGCGUGGCUUCCGGAGCUAACGCGUUAAGUAGACCGCCUGGGGAGUACGGCCGCAAGGUUAAAACUCAAAUGAAUUGACGGGGGCCCGCACAAGCGGUGGAGCAUGUGGUUUAAUUCGAUGCAACGCGAAGAACCUUACCUGGUCUUGACAUCCACGGAAGAAUUCAGAGAUGGAUUUGUGCCUUCGGGAACCGUGAGACAGGUGCUGCAUGGCUGUCGUCAGCUCGUGUUGUGAAAUGUUGGGUUAAGUCCCGCAACGAGCGCAACCCUUAUCCUUUGUUGCCAGCGGUCCGGCCGGGAACUCAAAGGAGACUGCCAGUGAUAAACUGGAGGAAGGUGGGGAUGACGUCAAGUCAUCAUGGCCCUUACGACCAGGGCUACACACGUGCUACAAUGGCGCAUACAAAGAGAAGCGACCUCGCGAGAGCAAGCGGACCUCAUAAAGUGCGUCGUAGUCCGGAUUGGAGUCUGCAACUCGACUCCAUGAAGUCGGAAUCGCUAGUAAUCGUGGAUCAGAAUGCCACGGUGAAUACGUUCCCGGGCCUUGUACACACCGCCCGUCACACCAUGGGAGUGGGUUGCAAAAGAAGUAGGUAGCUUAACCUUCGGGAGGGCGCUUACCACUUUGUGAUUCAUGACUGGGGUGAAGUCGUAACAAGGUAACCGUAGGGGAACCUGCGGUUGGA
RNAcentral lists this ribosomal RNA (1500 nucleotides) under Salmonella enterica subsp. enterica serovar Poona. RNAcentral's name for it is "bacterial SSU rRNA". It matches the Rfam family "Bacterial small subunit ribosomal RNA". Lineage: Bacteria; Pseudomonadati; Pseudomonadota; Gammaproteobacteria; Enterobacterales; Enterobacteriaceae. The record is from RNAcentral.